CGGGGCGUGGCGCAGGCUGGUAGCGCACCUGACUGGGGGUCAGGAGGUCGCCGGUUCAAAUCCGGCCGCCCCGACCA
This 77-nucleotide transfer RNA is filed under the name Chloroflexota bacterium. Its description in RNAcentral is "Chloroflexi bacterium tRNA-Pro". It matches the Rfam family "tRNA". Rfam says of the family: Transfer RNA (tRNA) molecules are approximately 80 nucleotides in length. Their secondary structure includes four short double-helical elements and three loops (D, anti-codon, and T loops). Further hydrogen bonds mediate the characteristic L-shaped molecular structure. tRNAs have two regions of fundamental functional importance: the anti-codon, which is responsible for specific mRNA codon recognition, and the 3' end, to which the tRNAs corresponding amino acid is attached (by aminoacyl-tRNA synthetases). tRNAs cope with the degeneracy of the genetic code in two manners: having more than one tRNA (with a specific anti-codon) for a particular amino acid; and 'wobble' base-pairing, i.e. permitting non-standard base-pairing at the 3rd anti-codon position. Lineage: Bacteria; Bacillati; Chloroflexota. The record is from RNAcentral.